RNAcentral lists this ribosomal RNA (253 nucleotides) under uncultured bacterium. RNAcentral's name for it is "partial 16S ribosomal RNA". It matches the Rfam family "Bacterial small subunit ribosomal RNA", at positions 524 to 776 of the family's 1533-position model. The record is from RNAcentral.
UACGUAGGGGGCAAGCGUUGUCCGGAUUUAUUGGGCGUAAAGAGCGUGUAGGCGGUCAGGUAGGUCCGUUGUGAAAACUCGAGGCUCAACCUCGAGACGCCGAUGGAAACCAUCAGACUAGAGUCCGGAAGAGGAGAGUGGAAUUCCUGGUGUAGCGGUGAAAUGCGCAGAUAUCAGGAAGAACACCCGUGGCUAAGGCGGCUCUCUAGUACGGUACUGACGCUGAGACGCGAAAGCGUGGGGAGCGAACAGG